GUGAGGAAUUUUCCGCAAUGGGCGAAAGCCUGACGGAGCAAUGCCGCGUGAAGGAUGAAGGCCUAUGGGUUGUAAACUUCUUUUCUUAGAGAAGAAUAUUGACGGUAUCUGAGGAAUAAGCAUCAGCUAACUCUGUGCCAGCAGCCGCGGUAAGACAGAGGAUGCAAGCGUUAUCCGGAAUGAUUGGGCGUAAAGCGUCUGUAGGUGGCUUCAAAAGUCUCCUGUCAAAGAUCAGGGCUUAACCCUGGGCCGGCAGGAGAAACUCUGAGGCUAGAGUUUGGUAGGGGCAGAGGGAAUUCCCGGUGGAGCGGUGAAAUGCGUAGAGAUCGGGAGGAACACCAAAGGCGAAAGCACUCUGCUGGGCCACAACUGACACUGAGAGACGAAAGCGAGGGGAGCAAAAGGGAUUAGAUACCCUGGUAGUCC
RNAcentral lists this ribosomal RNA (426 nucleotides) under uncultured bacterium. RNAcentral describes it as "partial 16S ribosomal RNA". It matches the Rfam family "Bacterial small subunit ribosomal RNA", at positions 354 to 796 of the family's 1533-position model. The record is from RNAcentral.